AGUCGGUCCCCUCGCAACGACAAGUUGUGAACUCCGCCAGGCCUGGAAGGGAGCAACGGUAGCAGCAGCCUCGUGUGCAAGGUGUGGCUGGUUUGG
RNAcentral lists this signal recognition particle RNA (96 nucleotides) under Gammaproteobacteria bacterium. Its description in RNAcentral is "signal recognition particle sRNA small type". It matches the Rfam family "Bacterial small signal recognition particle RNA". Rfam says of the family: The signal recognition particle (SRP) is a universally conserved ribonucleoprotein involved in the co-translational targeting of proteins to membranes. Archaeal SRP consists of a 7S RNA and homologues of the eukaryotic SRP19 and SRP54 proteins. Lineage: Bacteria; Pseudomonadati; Pseudomonadota; Gammaproteobacteria. The record is from RNAcentral.